AAAACCCACUCCCUGCAGUUUCUUUAAAACUCCCGAGAGCUCCCCAUUUCCGUAAACUUCCUUUCUUUUUCUUCUUGCAGCAGCCACACCUCUCAACCCUAACCCUUUUGCCCCAAAAAUUUAAUCUUUUGAUCUUUCACUCAUCUCCUUCCAUAAUUCCGAAAUUUGCAAGCUUAUUACAUCUUUGGGUUUUUUUUUCCAAGCACGAGAAGGUGACGGGAAAAAGGAGAAAACACUACGCGUUUCUUUGGUCUUUCUAUUUGAUCUCUUUAAGGUUCUGUGGAAAAUACUAUGGUUGACCUUCCUAACAACGGUAGGAGUCAGUGAUUGCGUUAUUUAGAUACCCAGUAGUGGAGUAACCGAUUUCCUGAGAUUUACUGACACACCCAGGAACUGGAUUAUCUUUUUGGUAGGUCCCCAUUGUGUCUGAUGGAUCUUUUGGUUGUAACUCCAGUAUAAUGCAGCUAUAGGGACCAAGGUAGUACUAGAUUUAGAAGGGCCUCCUUUAUUUUGGAAAUGUAAAUGACUCUCCUUUAUAGAUAUGAUGAUGAUGCACUUGUGAUGUUUUGAGACACUUGAUGAUUAGUGGUUAUAAUCCACUUUGUUAUUAAAUGGAUGAGAUGAGAUACCAGUACAUGAAAUUGUCCAUAUAUAUAUAUAUAUAUAUAUAUAUAUUGUGUUCUUUACAGGUUAGGUUGUAUAGGAUAGACUGGCCAAACUAAGGAAGACAUAGUCUGUGCGCCGGCCAUGAUCAAGAGUGGGUCUUGACACCUCUAGUGAUCAUUUCACAAAGAAGUUUCUCUGCCUUAUCAGCCUCACUUUUCAAAGAGAGCACACAUAAAUAUUUGGAAUGUUAUUGCAUUAGGGAUGCAACCAUUGUCUUCCAUUUUUUACCGCAAAGUGAAUGUCUCAUCAAGCAAACAUGCGAUUGAAUUCAGAGAAAACAUUUUCAAAGGAUGGAGGCUGAGAGUGAAAGUGAGAAUGGAGGGUUGAGAGUGAGGGGUUUGGAAGAAAAGAGGGAAAAUUGGGAAUGGAAAGAGAGGCAGAAAACCUUAACCUUGUUGGCAGUGACAUUUUGUUAUGUUUAUGUGUUGUGGCAACUGGCAAGUUUGACCUGAUAAUCUCAUGCAACUUUUAACAUGUUGGAUGUCUACACUAUGAAUUCGAAUAGCCACUGCAAUCCUCUCUGCUCUGAGGAAUCAAAGUGCUACAUGAUAUAUCUUCAAUUUUUUAUUUAUUUUUUGCUCAGCAAAAAUAGAAUUAUAUAUAUCUAAAAUUAGUACCAGUGGUACUAUAGUUACAAAUGUUUAUGAACCUAGCUGGUUCCAGUUUUUACAACCACCAAGCUAGGAACAGAAUUAAUGUGUUACAUAAGCCACCCA
Glycine soja is the source of this 1382-nucleotide long non-coding RNA. RefSeq lists it as uncharacterized. The record is from RefSeq and is a predicted model, not a curated record. The transcript has 3 exons. Lineage: Eukaryota; Viridiplantae; Streptophyta; Magnoliopsida; Fabales; Fabaceae.